GAAACAAAUCUAAUGGAGGAAACAAACAGGAUUUUGCUUUUAAAAGUAUUGUAUCAGUCAUAUAUGGAGCCAUCUACAGUGCUCUGCUGGCUGCCAUACCUCUGGAAACACAUCACACCAAAGUGUUGUAAGCUUGGAAAAGCUACCACCAAAGGGAGCUUGUACCAGAAAGCAACUGGGAAGGAAUAUCCCACUGCAUAUCAACAUACCAAAGGUAUUCAGUGGAAAGCAUGCAGACCAUGCUGGAGGAAAAGAUAACAAAGGUAGGCAUUUGAGAAAGAACAUGUCACAGAUUUCCAUGGCUUUGGAACACUGGAAUUAAUGCAAAAUCCUCAAUGCCCAUCAGCCAGAACAGAUCUUUCAACAGGAACAGAGUCCUCCUGAGGUUGGCAGGAUUUUUCAAGGUGCAGGGGUGAGAUAUCUAAUUGCAAAGUCUGUUACUAGGUGACACAUCAAGUCCUGACAAACUAUAAUGAGUAUUUUGAUAUAUCAGUGUAUGCAGCAAACCGCGCAAAAAAAUCCACUUUCACCAGCUCCACCCUCUGUUUGUUUUCAAUGACUGAGGCAUAGGGCCCCCAGAAUACACAUGCCUAGAGAAAUCUCCUGGAGACCAGAAAGUCGAGGAUUCAAGGAGGCCAGAAGGUCAAGGAUUACAUUUUCUGUAGGAAGUGAAGAAACAUGAAAACUGC
Molecule: long non-coding RNA, 689 nt
Filed under: Cyanistes caeruleus (blue tit)
Lineage: Eukaryota; Metazoa; Chordata; Aves; Passeriformes; Paridae
Description: lncRNA (ENSCCEG00000019680.1)
Source: RNAcentral